RNAcentral lists this transfer RNA (72 nucleotides) under Camelus dromedarius (Arabian camel). It matches the Rfam family "tRNA". Rfam says of the family: Transfer RNA (tRNA) molecules are approximately 80 nucleotides in length. Their secondary structure includes four short double-helical elements and three loops (D, anti-codon, and T loops). Further hydrogen bonds mediate the characteristic L-shaped molecular structure. tRNAs have two regions of fundamental functional importance: the anti-codon, which is responsible for specific mRNA codon recognition, and the 3' end, to which the tRNAs corresponding amino acid is attached (by aminoacyl-tRNA synthetases). tRNAs cope with the degeneracy of the genetic code in two manners: having more than one tRNA (with a specific anti-codon) for a particular amino acid; and 'wobble' base-pairing, i.e. permitting non-standard base-pairing at the 3rd anti-codon position. The record is from Rfam by way of RNAcentral. Lineage: Eukaryota; Metazoa; Chordata; Mammalia; Artiodactyla; Camelidae. RNAcentral also lists the same sequence under 1 other name.
GAGGGCAUAGCUCAGUGGUAGAGUGCGUGCUUAGCAUGCAUGAGGUCCUGGGUUCAAGCCGCAGUCCCUCCA